Molecule: ribosomal RNA, 1480 nt
Filed under: metagenome
Description: bacterial LSU rRNA
Rfam family: Bacterial large subunit ribosomal RNA
Source: RNAcentral
GGGAAUCCUUAUGGCCGAAUAUCCAAGGUUUCCAGAGUAAAGCUGAUCUGCUCUGGGUAAGUCGGGGCCUAAGGCGAGGACGAGAGUCGUAGCCGAUGGACAACAGGUGGAGAUUCCUGUACUGCGGUAUGACAGAACUGUGGGGACACGUAAGGAAAGCGGAAGCCGGGAAUGGAAAGCCCGGUGCAAGCGGGGUACCAGUCACUUUGGCAAAUCCGGGUGGCAAUGGGAAGCCGUGAUGCGGAGUGUAAUAAAGUAGCGAAGUCCGUGAGCCAUGCGACAAGAAAAGCCGCUAUCGUUCAUACCGUACCCGUACCGUAAACCGACACAGGUGGAUGAGGAGAGAAUCCUAAGGCCGGCGGAAGAAGCAUUGUCAAGGAACUCGGCAAAAUGGCCCCGUAACUUAGGGAUAAGGGGUGCCUGGGAAACCAGGCCGCAGAGAAUAGGCUCAAGCAACUGUUUAGCAAAAACACAGGUCUAUGCGAAACCGAAAGGUGAGGUAUAUGGGCUGACGCCUGCCCGGUGCUGGGAGGUUAAGAGGAGAGGUUAGCGCAAGCGAAGCUUUGAAUUUAAGCCCCAGUAAACGGCGGCCGUAACAAUAACGGUCCUAAGGUAGCGAAAUUCCUUGUCGGGUAAGUUCCGACCCGCACGAAAGGCGUAAUGAUUUGAGCGCUGUCUCGACAAUGCAUCCGGUGAAAUUGAAGUACCAGUGAAGAUGCUGGUUACCUGCGCCAGGACGGAAAGACCCCAUGGAGCUUUACUCCAGUCUGGUACUGGGACUCGGUAUUGCAUGUACAGGAUAGGUGGGAGGCUAGGAGAUGGUAACGCCAGUUGCCAUGGAGCCGCUGUUGGGAUACCACCCUUGCAGUAUUGGGUUUCUAACCAGCCGCCGUGACCCGGCGGUGGGACAAUGCCAGACGGGGAGUUUGACUGGGGCGGUCGCCUCCGAAAGGGUAUCGGAGGCGCCCAAAGGUUCCCUCAGAAUGGACGGAAACCAUUCGAAGAGUGCAAAGGCAGAAGGGAGCUUGACUGCGACACCGACGGGUGGAGCAGGUACGAAAGUAGGGCUUAGUGAUCCGGUGGUAUUAAGUGGGAAUGCCAUCGCUCAACGGAUAAAAGCUACCCUGGGAUAACAGGCUUAUCACUCCCAAGAGUUCACAUCGACGGAGUGGUUUGGCACCUCGAUGUCGGCUCAUCGCAUCCUGGGGCUGUAGUAGGUCCCAAGGGUUGGGCUGUUCGCCCAUUAAAGCGGUACGCGAGCUGGGUUCAGAACGUCGUGAGACAGUUCGGUCCCUAUCCGGCGUGGGCGUAGGAUAUCUGAGAGGAGCUGUCCUUAGUACGAGAGGACCGGGAUGGACGGGCCGCUGGUGCAUCGGUUAGACUGCCAAGUCUACGGCCGAGUAGCCAAGCCCGGAAGGGAUAAACGCUGAAGGCAUCUAAGCGUGAAGCCCCCCUUAAGAUGAGAUAUCCCAUUCAUAAA